This is a non-coding RNA of Linepithema humile (Argentine ant), 542 nucleotides long. The record is from RefSeq and is a predicted model, not a curated record. NCBI's taxonomy places the organism in Eukaryota, Metazoa, Arthropoda, Insecta, Hymenoptera, Formicidae.
CUCACCACGGCCGUCCGUUCCUCGGCACGAUCAUUUCGUUCGCUACUCCGCGGGCUUCCUGGUCGACGCUAUCUUCACGCUUUUGCAGAAAAAAGAAGAUUUUGCGCGCGGAUCAUUUUCUGUCGCAGGUGCCGCGAUAAGACUUCGAGUCACGUUUCCCGAGGACAAAAAUUAUCGAGAGCAAUCCUAAGGUGUCGGCCAAGAAGGGACUCUCCGUGGACCCGACGCGCCGUUGCGGUAUCGUUCUCGCGCCGGUGACACCGUUAUUCCGUCCUUGAAAAGAUACCAGCUGCGUGAAGAACACUUCGAGUCGCGCGACGAAGUCGCAGUACGUUCACGUUCGUCAGGUUGCUUCCUGUCCGCGCGUAUCGACGUGGAAGAUUCCAACCGGCUUGUAGGAGAUGUUCGGCCGUGCAUAGUCUGGCAAGGGAAAUUCAUUGGUUCCAAAGAAGAUUUCGAAAAACACACGUCAUCGAGAAAGAGAGAAAAAAAAACGAUUGGGCGAAUGAAUAAAACAGGAUUUCAAAGAUGCUGAAUAGAAA